UACGGAGGGUGCGAGCGUUGUCCGGAAUCACGUGGGCGUAAAGGGCGCGUAGGCGGCCUGAUAAGUAGGGGGUGAAAUCCUGCGGCUUAACCGCAGGGCUGCCUUCUAAACUGUCAGGCUCGAGCACAGUAGAGGCAGGUGGAAUUCCCGGUGUAGCGGUGGAAUGCGUAGAGAUCGGGAAGAACAUCAGUGGCGAAGGCGGCUAUCUGGGCUGAAACUGACGCUGAGGCGCGAAGGCUAGGGGAGCAAACAGG
This 254-nucleotide ribosomal RNA is filed under the name uncultured bacterium. Its description in RNAcentral is "partial 16S ribosomal RNA". It matches the Rfam family "Bacterial small subunit ribosomal RNA", at positions 524 to 776 of the family's 1533-position model. The record is from RNAcentral.